GUAGGGAAUCUUGCGCAAUGGGCGAAAGCCUGACGCAGCCAUGCCGCGUGAAUGAUGAAGGUCUUAGGAUUGUAAAAUUCUUUCACCGGGGACGAUAAUGACGGUACCCGGAGAAGAAGCCCCGGCUAACUUCGUGCCAGCAGCCGCGGUAAUACGAAGGGGGCUAGCGUUGCUCGGAAUUACUGGGCGUAAAGGGAGCGUAGGCGGAUAGUUUAGUCAGAGGUGAAAGCCCAGGGCUCAACCUUGGAAUUGCCUUUGAUACUGGCUAUCUUGAGUAGUGAAGAGGUAUGUGGAACUCCGAGUGUAGAGGUGAAAUUCGUAGAUAUUCGGAAGAACACCAGUGGCGAAGGCGACAUACUGGUCCAUUACUGACGCUGAGGCUCGAAAGCGUGGGGAGCAAACAGGAUUAGAUACCCGAGUAGUCC
This 425-nucleotide ribosomal RNA is filed under the name uncultured bacterium. RNAcentral describes it as "partial 16S ribosomal RNA". It matches the Rfam family "Bacterial small subunit ribosomal RNA", at positions 354 to 796 of the family's 1533-position model. The record is from RNAcentral.